CUCAUCCAUUGCCUCUGAACUGGGACUGGCCCUACCAUUAGCUUAGAUCAGUGGUUCCCAACCCAUGGGCUGCGGCCCAGCAGUGAGCUGUGAGAAUGAAAAUCUGAUCUGCAAACCUCCUUUAUUUUAUUUUAUUUUAUUUUAUUUAUGCUCCUUUCUGCAGAGCUAACCAUUGCAUUGGAUAGACCACAUCAGCUCUAGAUGAUUAAAUAUGGUUUUCUGUGGGCAAGCAGAUGGUGACUACUGGAUGGCAUAUGUUCUGUAUCAGAAACUAGAGCUAAUGUGGUCUAUCCAAUGCAAUUUUCUGAAUCAGCACCCCAAAUAAACAAACUGAAUCUAAAGUUGACCAAAAACUGAAUCAUAACCCUUUUGGUACUAAUGUUGAGAGUGGUCCCUGGUCAAAGUUGUCAAUGGUCACAAUGGGCCCUGGUCAACAUGGUUCCUGGUCAACGUGGUCCCUGGUUAACGUGGUCCCUGGUCAAGUGGACCCUGGUCAAAGUGGGCCCUGGUCAAUGUGGUCCAUGGUCAAAGUGGUCCCUGGUCAAAAAAAAAGGUUGGGAACCACUGUUGUAGAUGAAGUUAUAGUCCAGUACCCAAACCACUAUGUUGUGGUUUGUAAAGACACCAUGAUGUAUGGGUUAACUGGAAAAGUAUGUGUAAGAAGCCGAUUGGCUAAGCCUGCCAAGAGCUAGUAAUCUGAUUGGUUACUUUCUCUGACAUGCUGCUGGGUAACCGGUUUGAGGAGUUUUACCUCAGAGUUGUGUGUGUAUGCUGACUGAAAACAGCCAGGAGAGAAGAUGGCUGCCAAUUGUUAUUUCCAAAGCACUGAGGCAAAUUAAUGGACUUUAAAGAAACUAUUUAUUCCUACUGUUCUCUGUAAGCAAUCACAGAAACUAUUGUAUAUAUCAUUGCUCUGUUUGAUCCCUUGAUGUUAGCAAAGUUCCUGUUACUUGUUCUACAAAGCUAAGUGGCGCAUCAUUACCCUGCAGGGUGACUUUGGUUCUCAGGCAGCUUCCAUUUAACAUCAUCUACUGUUGUGGUUCAGUCUGAUGAUGAAGGGGGAUUUGGGUUUAUGCAGGCUGACCAAAGCAAUGCUGAUGUGAGAAAUCUUGAAGGCUCUGAUGCUGAGAAUGUUGAAGGCUCUGGCGAGGAAACAGAAAACAAUGAUAAGGGUGACCUAACCUUUCACUAGAUUCAGAACAUCAACAAGCUCUAGGUAUUUCUGGCAGUGAGUGUGAGGAAUCUUUCUUAGACAGAGAUACAAGGUUGAGGUUGAAAGUUCAUCGGCUCAGAAUAGCUAAUAAAUGAGUGGGAAGCCAAGAGCAGAGAAAUGCCUUUCUAGCUUGUAAACAUGGCUAAAUACAGGACAAACAGAAAGUGAUUUCUGUAUAUAGUCAAGCAAUUGUCAUUUUAGGAAAGAUCAAAAAUAGUCCAAAUAAAUGAAGUUAUAUGUCCAGUAUUAGAGUCCAAAGUCUACAAUCCAAUAACUGAAACACACUCAAACUCUUUGGAAGUUUGAGUGGGGAAAGAGCAAGGGUUCACAGGGAGAUUCUUGAAGUAAAGUCCAAACAAGGAUUCGAGGCUAGGCAAGGUAAUUCGUGGUGGAUCUGAAACGCAGUCCAAACUUGAUCAGGAGAGGAAACGCAACUCCCGGUCUACUCGUGAGUAAGCGCACCGGAGGGCCGCUUAGAAGCUCUGAAACAAGAGUCAAUGUUCUUCUUUGAAUAAUCACGUUGACACCGCGAUAGGGAAAGCUCAGUGCAGAACCUUUAUGGAAGUUCAAGAGCUUCCCCCAACAGGUGUUUAACUCCCCAAGCUGUUUCAACAUGCCUGCCUCCCCGAAACUUCUUCACUUCACUGUAAAACUUCAAUACUUCAAUAAAAAAUAUUUUUUUUAAAAAAAAAAAGAAACUUCCCAAGGGAAACGGAUUAAUUACAAUCGUCUCUCUCCGCUAAUCUCGCGCUUCGUCUUAGAAACUGCUUAUGGGAGCGAUGUGUUUUGAGAAAGCCCUUCCUAUCAAACACAACACUUUCCGGGGAACCAGGCUCUGUUUCAAGGGCGUCUCUAAUUGGCUCUGGCACGAAAAUGUCAACAGGGGACAUCUGGAAUGGAACAGAAUCUUGCUGAGAUGGGAAAAAGCCCAAAUCCUCUUCAGUUUAAUCUAUGAUGGCUGCGGGGUCAUGGGCCAAAGGUCCCUGAGACAUCACAAUGCCCAUCAUUUCGUUUGCCAAUGAAUGAAUAUUGGUCAUCCCG
Long non-coding RNA from Anolis carolinensis (green anole), 2254 nucleotides. The record is from Ensembl. Lineage: Eukaryota; Metazoa; Chordata; Lepidosauria; Squamata; Anolidae.